ACCGCAUGGCCAGCCGGGGUCCCUGAGGACCAGCGCCCAGGGCCUGUCCUUCUCAUCCUGGGAGGACUGAACUAGAGAUGGACACGGCCCAGGCAGGGAGACAGACCAGACACCCGGGGAUCUUUCCAGCCAUAGGGCUGUGAGUCACGGUCUGUUUCCAGAAGAUUCUCAGAUCCUGCAUAAGGCAUUCAAAAAGCAACACUUGGAUGAAGAAGGAACCACACUUUGAAGAUGCCUACUGACUUGACAAGGUCACCUGGCUGCUAGGAGGCUGAGCCCAACUGAAACCCUACAGCUCUUCUGACUCCCAAAUCAGUGCUCUUCUCCUGAACCCCACCUCAGAGGUGGCAAGGCCUGGAGGGCGGUCACUUUGGAAUCUCCCUGGAAUCUGAACCUUUCCUCACCACUACCCACCCCCCCUCACCCAGUGUACUUUCUACCGGCCCUGGCCCUGAAAUGCUCCCACCAGGCUCUAGCAAGGUGGCCUCCCUCAAC
This is a non-coding RNA of Leptonychotes weddellii (Weddell seal), 495 nucleotides long. Lineage: Eukaryota; Metazoa; Chordata; Mammalia; Carnivora; Phocidae. The record is from RefSeq and is a predicted model, not a curated record.